Molecule: transfer RNA, 73 nt
Filed under: Hyphomicrobiales bacterium
Lineage: Bacteria; Pseudomonadati; Pseudomonadota; Alphaproteobacteria; Hyphomicrobiales
Description: tRNA-Glu
Rfam family: tRNA
About the family: Transfer RNA (tRNA) molecules are approximately 80 nucleotides in length. Their secondary structure includes four short double-helical elements and three loops (D, anti-codon, and T loops). Further hydrogen bonds mediate the characteristic L-shaped molecular structure. tRNAs have two regions of fundamental functional importance: the anti-codon, which is responsible for specific mRNA codon recognition, and the 3' end, to which the tRNAs corresponding amino acid is attached (by aminoacyl-tRNA synthetases). tRNAs cope with the degeneracy of the genetic code in two manners: having more than one tRNA (with a specific anti-codon) for a particular amino acid; and 'wobble' base-pairing, i.e. permitting non-standard base-pairing at the 3rd anti-codon position.
Source: RNAcentral
GCCCUGUUCGUCUAGCGGCCUAGGACGCUGGCCUCUCACGCCGGUAACAGGGGUUCGAAACCCCUACCGGGCG